This 292-nucleotide ribosomal RNA is filed under the name uncultured bacterium. RNAcentral's name for it is "partial 16S ribosomal RNA". It matches the Rfam family "Bacterial small subunit ribosomal RNA", at positions 505 to 796 of the family's 1533-position model. The record is from RNAcentral.
GUGUCAGCCGCCGCGGUAAUACAGAGGGUGCGAGCGUUGUCCGGAAUCACUGGGCGUAAAGGGCGCGUAGGUGGCUUGGUAAGCGUGUGGUGAAAGUCCGGGGCUCAACCCCGGAUCUGCCAUGCGAACUGCCGAGCUCGAGCAUUGUAGAGGCAGGUGGAAUUUCGGGUGUAGCGGUGGAAUGCGUAGAUAUCCGAAAGAACACCGGUGGCGAAGGCGGCCUGCUGGGCAAUUGCUGACACUGAGGCGCGACAGCGUGGGGAGCAAACAGGAUUAGAUACCCCAGUAGUCC